CGGAGGGGGCUAGCGUUGUUCGGAAUUACUGGGCGUAAAGCGUGCGUAGGCGGCCUUUCAAGUUGGGUGUGAAAGCCCGGGGCUUAACCCCGGAAAUGCGCCCAAGACUGUUUGGCUAGAGACCGGGAGAGGUGAGUGGAACUCCCAGUGUAGAGGUGAAAUUCGUAGAUAUUGGGAAGAACACCAGUGGCGAAGGCGGCUCACUGGACCGGUACUGACGCUGAGGCACGAAAGCGUGGGGAGCAAACAGGAUUAGAUACCCUGGUAGUCCACGCCGUAAACUAUGAGAGCUAGACGUUGGGGGGCUUGCCCCCCUGUGUCGCAGCUAACGCGUGAAGCUCUCCGCCUGGGGAGUACGGCCGCAAGGUUA
Molecule: ribosomal RNA, 370 nt
Filed under: uncultured organism
Description: bacterial SSU rRNA
Rfam family: Bacterial small subunit ribosomal RNA
Source: RNAcentral